AGGGGUAUGGUGAAGAGGUAUCACGCGGGUCUCCAAAACCCUAAUCGGAGGUUCAAUUCCUCCUACCCCUGCCA
This 74-nucleotide transfer RNA is filed under the name Candidatus Uhrbacteria bacterium CG10_big_fil_rev_8_21_14_0_10_50_16. Its description in RNAcentral is "tRNA-Trp". It matches the Rfam family "tRNA". From Rfam's summary of the family: Transfer RNA (tRNA) molecules are approximately 80 nucleotides in length. RNAcentral also lists the same sequence under 1 other name. The record is from RNAcentral. Lineage: Bacteria; Candidatus Uhriibacteriota.